Non-coding RNA from Schistosoma mattheei, 45 nucleotides. The record is from Rfam. NCBI's taxonomy places the organism in Eukaryota, Metazoa, Platyhelminthes, Trematoda, Strigeidida, Schistosomatidae.
ACCCAGUUGACGAGUCUCAAAUAGGACGAAACAUGCGUCCUAGAU